AUUGCCUACGGGAGGCAGCAGUGGGGAAUAUUGCACAAUGGGGGAAACCCUGACGCAGCAACGCCGCGUGGGUGAAGGAGCGUUUCGGCGCGUAAAGCCCUGUCAGCGGGGAAGAAGUAAGACGGUACCCGACCAAGAAGCUCCGGCUAACUACGUGCCAGCAGCCGCGGUAAUACGUAGGGGGCGAGCGUUAUCCGGAAUUACUGGGUGUAAAGGGAGCGUAGACGGCGAGGUAAGCCUGAAGUGGAAGCCCGCGGCCCAACCGCGGAACUGCUUUGGGAACUGGUUUGAUGGAGUAUGGGAGG
RNAcentral lists this ribosomal RNA (305 nucleotides) under uncultured bacterium. RNAcentral describes it as "bacterial SSU rRNA". It matches the Rfam family "Bacterial small subunit ribosomal RNA", at positions 334 to 655 of the family's 1533-position model. The record is from RNAcentral.